CACGUAUGGGGCGAGCGUUGUUCGGAAUUAUUGGGCGUAAAGGGCGCGUAGGCGGGUUUGCAAGUCUGGUGUGAAAGACCGCAGCUUAACUGCGGGGACGCGCUGGAAACUGUGAAUCUUGAAUCCUGGAGGGGGAGCUGGAAUUCCUGGUGUAGGGGUGAAAUCUGUAGAUAUCAGGAAGAACACCGGUGGCGAAGGCGAGCUCCUGGCCGUGGAUUGACGCUGAGGCGCGAAAGCGUGGGGAGCGAACAGG
Molecule: ribosomal RNA, 253 nt
Filed under: uncultured bacterium
Lineage: Bacteria
Description: partial 16S ribosomal RNA
Rfam family: Bacterial small subunit ribosomal RNA
Source: RNAcentral